RNAcentral lists this ribosomal RNA (471 nucleotides) under uncultured bacterium. RNAcentral describes it as "bacterial SSU rRNA". It matches the Rfam family "Bacterial small subunit ribosomal RNA", at positions 335 to 799 of the family's 1533-position model. The record is from RNAcentral.
ACUCCUACGGGAGGCAGCAGUAGGGAAUCUUCCACAAUGGGCGCAAGCCUGAUGGAGCAACACCGCGUGAGUGAAGAGGGGUUUCGGCUCGUAAAGCUCUGUUGUUAAAGAAGAACACGUAUGAGAGUAACUGUUCAUACGUUGACGGUAUUUAACCAGAAAGUCACGGCUAACUACGUGCCAGCAGCCGCGGUAAUACGUAGGUGGCAAGCGUUAUCCGGAUUUAUUGGGCGUAAAGAGAGUGCAGGCGGUUUUCUAAGUCUGAUGUGAAAGCCUUCGGCUUAACCGGAGAAGUGCAUCGGAAACUGGAUAACUUGAGUGCAGAAGAGGGUAGUGGAACUCCAUGUGUAGCGGUGGAAUGCGUAGAUAUAUGGAAGAACACCAGUGGCGAAGGCGGCUACCUGGUCUGCAACUGACGCUGAGACUCGAAAGCAUGGUAGCGAACAGGAUUAGAUACCCUGUAGGAUAGCG